UACGGAGGGUGCGAGCGUUGUCCGGAAUCAUUGGGCGUAAAGGGCUCGUAGGUGGCCAACUAAGUCAGACGUGAAAUCCCUCGGCUUAACCGGGGAACUGCGUCUGAUACUGGAUGGCUAGAGAUUGGGAGAGGGAUGCGGAAUUCCAGGUGUAGCGGUGAAAUGCGUAGAUAUCUGGAGGAACACCGGUGGCGAAGGCGGCAUCCUGGACCAACACUGACGCUGAGGAGCGAAAGCCAGGGGAGCAAACGGG
RNAcentral lists this ribosomal RNA (253 nucleotides) under uncultured bacterium. RNAcentral describes it as "partial 16S ribosomal RNA". It matches the Rfam family "Bacterial small subunit ribosomal RNA", at positions 524 to 776 of the family's 1533-position model. The record is from RNAcentral.